GUUCAUCAAGUCUUCAAAAAAGAAUAUAUACGAUUGCAUUGCAUAUACUAACGGAUGCGAUCAUACCAGCACUAAUGCACCGGAUCCCAUCAGAACUCCGCAGUUAAGCGAGCUUGGGCGAGAGUAGUACUAGGAUGGGUGACCUCCCGGGAAGUCCUCGUGUUGCAUCCCUCUUUUAUAUUUAACCUCUUUUU
This 194-nucleotide ribosomal RNA is filed under the name Arabidopsis thaliana (thale cress). Lineage: Eukaryota; Viridiplantae; Streptophyta; Magnoliopsida; Brassicales; Brassicaceae. The record is from RNAcentral.